This 1545-nucleotide long non-coding RNA is filed under the name Lathyrus oleraceus (garden pea). RNAcentral describes it as "Pisum sativum (pea) long non-coding RNA (PSAT_LNC040258)". The record is from RNAcentral. Lineage: Eukaryota; Viridiplantae; Streptophyta; Magnoliopsida; Fabales; Fabaceae.
GCCAGUGCCAUCAUCUGAUCUGAAUACAUUGACUCACAAUUUCAGAAAAACUUUAUCAUCACAAAUUUACAGAUUUACUCCAUGUACAGUUGGUGGUUGGUGCUUUCCAAUAUGCAACCAUUACAAGACAAGAAAUAAGCUAUGUUGUGAAUAAAGUUUGUAACUACAAGUGAUGCCCAAUGAAAUUUCAUCGGGCGGCGCUUAACAAACAAACAACCAAGCCUUAUCUCACACUAAGUGGGUCGGCUAUAGGAAUCAAUUUUCGCCAUAAUGUUCUAUCCAAUACCGUACUUAUAUCUAAAUCAUUAAUAUCAAGAUCUUUCUUAAUAACUUAUGUUAUAGUUUUUCUAGGUCUUCCUUUACCUCUAGUUGUUUGACUUCUCUUCAUCUGAUCUACUUUCCUCACCAUAGAAUCUACAUGUCUUCUGUCUCCAUGCCCAGACAACCUAAGUCUAUUUUUCAUCACCCAACGCAACAUCCUGUCUAGUCUAAUAUUGUCAUUUCUAAUCUUAUCGUGUCUAGUCUUCCCACUCAUCCAACCUAAGUCUAUAUUUUUUUGACUUAAACUAAAAGGGACGUCAAAUUGCAGUUUUCAAUUCUUCCUAACAAAGCCCCAUCAAUGUCUCCCUAUUAAACCUUUUGUGACGCAGACUUAACUUUAAAUCUUGAUGCUGCAAUGUACUUCACAAGCAAUUUCAUUAAUCUUUUGAGUAACCUUAUUUAUAACAGAGACAGUUAUAACCAACUCCUAACUAAUUCACAACUGUCUAAGAUCUCUUGGCGUUAGGUAGGUCCAAUCACAAUAACAGAAAUGUAAACUAUGCACCAUCUCUAACAUUCCUUCAAGUCUUCUAUCCUAAGAAUUAAAUUUUGUUUUUUCUUACACCAACACUUGUCUAUAACGCCAAUGUAGCCAACUAAAUCUCUAGAAAAAAUUGCAGUUUCAAAGCUGAACCCUAGCACCAUCUUCUAUGCAUCAAUUGUCACAAUAUGAAAUCUCAUGGAUAGAUUUUUUUUCAAAUUAAAUCAUUUCCAACAUCAACAAAUAACAAAAAAACUAGGAAGCAAUAGAGACCUCGUACAACAAAUUGAAAAAAAAAAACAUAUUGAACCUCAGCAAACUAACUAGGUAAAAAGAAACCCUAAAUUGUAUUAAUUCAACGAAGCAUACAAGAAAGAGGAAUAAGACUAACCGUAAUAUCGGGAAUUCAACAGUCGUUAAAGAAAUAACGGCAAUAACGGCAAUGGUUGGAAUGGGAUAGCGAAGAAAUGUUGCGCUUUUUUCCUUUGUUACUGUGUCGAUGGGUUUAAGAAAAGAUAGAAGAGGGGUUUGAGAGAGAGAGAGAGAGAGAAGUUGAGAGGAACAAAGAGUGUAGUUUUGUUUUGUUGAUACUCGACAGAACAUAAAAAUGAAAGAUGAGAUAGAAAAUAGAUUUGUUUGUUGGUUUUUGUUUUUGUUGUUGAGGUGAAGCGAUGGUGCAAGAAGGUGUGAUGUGUGUGCCUCUAUUUAUAAAGAGUUCAUCGCUUCAUUGGUUGAGAUGUUCG